RNAcentral lists this ribosomal RNA (216 nucleotides) under uncultured bacterium. RNAcentral's name for it is "partial 16S ribosomal RNA". It matches the Rfam family "Bacterial small subunit ribosomal RNA", at positions 118 to 351 of the family's 1533-position model. The record is from RNAcentral.
UGGAUAUCUGCCUUUUGGUUCGGAAUAACCCCGGGAAACUGGGGCUAAUACCGGAUGGUUCCUUCGGGAUAAAGAUUUAUCGCCAAAAGAUGAGUCCGCGUCCGAUUAGCUAGUUGGUGAGGUAAUGGCUCACCAAGGCGACGACGGGUAGCUGGUCUGAGAGGAUGGCCAGCCACAUUGGGACUGAGACACGGCCCAGACUCCUACGGGAGGCAG